RNAcentral lists this ribosomal RNA (470 nucleotides) under uncultured Alphaproteobacteria bacterium. RNAcentral's name for it is "bacterial SSU rRNA". It matches the Rfam family "Bacterial small subunit ribosomal RNA", at positions 9 to 524 of the family's 1533-position model. The record is from RNAcentral. Lineage: Bacteria; Pseudomonadati; Pseudomonadota; Alphaproteobacteria.
GAGUUUGAUCCUGGCUCAGAGCGAACGCUGGCGGCAGGCCUAAUACAUGCAAGUCGAACGGCUCUUCGGAGCAGUGGCGGACGGGUGAGUAACGCGUGGGAACGUGCCCUUUGGUUCGGAACAACACAGGGAAACUUGUGCUAAUACCGAAUGUGCCCUUCGGGGGAAAGAUUUAUCGCCAUUGGAGCGGCCCGCGUUGGGUUAGCUAGUUGGUGGGGUAAAGGCCCACCAAGGCGACGAUCCAUAGCUGGUCUGAGAGGAUGAUCAGCCACACUGGGACUGAGACACGGCCCAGACUCCUACGGGAGGCAGCAGUAGGGAAUCUUGCGCAAUGGGCGAAAGCCUGACGCAGCCAUGCCGCGUGAAUGAUGAAGGUCUUAGGAUUGUAAAAUUCUUUCACCGGGGAAGAUAAUGACGGUACCCGGAGAAGAAGCCCCGGCUAACUUCGUGCCAACAGCCGCCGCAGUAAG